RNAcentral lists this long non-coding RNA (597 nucleotides) under Phoenix dactylifera (date palm). RNAcentral's name for it is "long non-coding RNA (PDAC_LNC016009)". The record is from RNAcentral. Lineage: Eukaryota; Viridiplantae; Streptophyta; Magnoliopsida; Arecales; Arecaceae.
GGCUCUCCCACAUAUAAGCUCAUGGAGACUAUCUCAAAGCAAAGUUAGUCAAAAUUAUAUCUUACUCGUCUGAUUUAUAAGUUACACUUCUCAAAUCAAUUUUCACUUACAUAAUGCAUUUCUCUGAAUAUUGUUCACAUAUUCAUAUUUUUAAUAUCUGACAUAUAUACUACCAUGGAAGUAUAAUCGUACUGAAAAUCAUAUAAAAUAUACAAUCACAUGCCAAAUCAAAUUUAUCAAUGUAAAUGACAUAAUACAAAUCUACCAACACAAGUAAAUAACAUGUAUAUAUACUUAAUGGUAAUCCAAUAUAAGAAUUCUUAUAUCUAUUGCAAUCGAACAAGCUACAAUGCUUUCAAUCAACACUUCAACUUCUUACACAAUUUACAUCUCGUUUAAAACCCACGGUGUCAAAAAUCUUGUUUAACCGUUCCCAUAUCUUGCAAAUUAUUCUCCUGCAAUACCAAAUAUAUUAUGAAAGUUAUAAACUGAUAUUUAACUAGCAAAUAUGGCAAAGAAAUAUAUAUAUAACAUCACCAACAUUUCCAACGCUCUGCCACAUGCAUGCAUGGAUGUGCUGCCCGGCAUGACAUGAUG